Molecule: small nuclear RNA, 307 nt
Filed under: Cricetulus griseus (Chinese hamster)
Lineage: Eukaryota; Metazoa; Chordata; Mammalia; Rodentia; Cricetidae
Description: 7SK RNA
Rfam family: 7SK RNA
About the family: 7SK was discovered as an abundant small nuclear RNA in the mid-70s but a possible function has only recently been suggested.
Source: Rfam by way of RNAcentral
AGGCAAUCUGGCUGUGCCUUCUAUCAUCCCAUGUAUCACCAGGGUUGACUCGGCUGACCUGGCUGGCUAGGUGUGUGUCUCUCCUGAAGUUGUGCGCUCAGUGGAAGAGGGCAAUCUUCCCUGAAUAGAAGAGGACCAGACUUCAGUCAGGGGUAUAUGAGUACCUGUGCUCCUCUGCUAGAACCUCCAAAAAAGCUCUCAAGAAUUCUAAGUCCCACUGGCUUCCAGUAUUUGCAAAUAAAGUUUUAUUGUAACAGAGUUGUGUUCAUUUGUUUAUGUAAUGUCUAUGCCUGCUGUCAGGGGUGUG